AUCCGUUCGUCUUCUUCCACUAGCACCCUCGAGAGCAACCGCACCAACCUCGUCGCCAUUAUCCGUUACCCGGACACGGCCGAGAGCCCUUCCCCUCCCUCGCGUCCGCUGCUGCGCCAGUCGGAUCUCACACCGCGCCGCCGCUGCUAGCGAGGCUACUCCUUCCUGGGCCGGCGAGCUCGCCAGCUCUGUGCCAUGGAAGGCCGCGGUCUCCGGCGCGCUCGCCCUCGCCGUUUGCUUCACUUGCUUCGUUGGUUCGGCCAAUGCUAGGACUGGGGUAAACAAACCAGAACUGCUUCCUAAAGAAUUUACUACCGUCAUUGAUGUUGCUGGUUUUCUUUCCUCAGGCCAGGAACAAGCAGAACAUUCUGGCUUAUAUAGGAUAAAAUUGUCUGAUGGAGGCACUUUACAUUCUACUGAUUUAAUUUCUUUAUGACCCGUUCGUAUAAUCUUGCAAUAUAUAUUUGAUGAAUAGUCAUGCCAACUCUUAUAUUAUAAUGAAGACGGAUACUUGUCUGGCUUACUUUUGUUCCACCUGAAAAACGCACCAUCUUGUUAUUUCCACAUCAAUUAUAGAUGUGGAUUGUUUGUUCUUAGGAAAACCGUUUGCGCCAAGAGAUAGAAGACCUGGAGAAGGAUACAGGGUACAAACUGCGAGUUCUUGCACAAAAUUAUCCCGAUACCCCUGGAUUGGCUAUCAAAGAUUUUUGGCAGGUUGAUGAGCGUACUAUUGUUUUUGUUGCUGAUCCAACCUUUGGCAACAUAAUAAAUUUCAACGUUGGCCCAUUAGUUGAUUUAGAUGUCCCUCGGAGCUUUUGGAGUCAGGUUUCAGGGAAGUAUGGGAACAUGUUCUACUGGAAAGAAAAGGGAGAGGAUGCAUCGAUUGAAGCUGCCGUGACGGCAAUUUCACGCUGUCUAAGAGACCCCAGCGGGACAAAUAAUUGUUCGGAGGUGCUAUAGGAAGCAAGUUAUCGUUGCCCAAAGAAACAUGGAAAGUCUUCUGAACACGAUAUCCAGUAUACCAAAAAACUAUUAACAAAUUACUUCUGUGAAAAAAUAAUAAAAUCAUGGCGCAAUGACACAUACUACUAUGACUA
This is an RNA transcript of Panicum virgatum (switchgrass), 1097 nucleotides long. It is a transcript of the gene named thylakoid lumenal 15.0 kDa protein 2, chloroplastic-like, with no coding region annotated. The record is from RefSeq and is a predicted model, not a curated record. The transcript is spliced from 6 exons. Lineage: Eukaryota; Viridiplantae; Streptophyta; Magnoliopsida; Poales; Poaceae.